RNAcentral lists this ribosomal RNA (311 nucleotides) under uncultured eukaryote. RNAcentral describes it as "partial 18S ribosomal RNA". It matches the Rfam family "Eukaryotic small subunit ribosomal RNA", at positions 1470 to 1796 of the family's 1831-position model. The record is from RNAcentral.
CCCCUAGACGUUCUGGGCUGCACGCGCGCUACAAUAAUACGCACAGCGAGUAUCACCGAGCUCGAAAGGGCAAGGUAAACAAUAGAAAAGGUACUGUAAUGGCUAUAGAUCCUUGUAAUUAUUGAUCUUCAACGAGGAAUUCCUAGUAAGUAUGUGUCAUCAUCACGCACUGAUUACGUCCCUGCCCUUUGUACACACCGCCCGUCGCUCCUACCGAUUGGGUGAGCCGAUGAAACUCUCGGAUGUAGGCUAUUCAUAGCCCGCAGAAGAGAUUUGAAUCGUAGCGCUUAGAGGAAGGAGAAGUCGUAACA